UUGAACGCUGGCGGCAGGCCUAACACAUGCAAGUCGAGCGCGAAAGUUCUUCGGAAUGAGUAAAGCGGCGGACGGGUGAGUAACGCGUGGGAAUCUGCCUAGUAGUGGGGGACAACAGCCGGAAACGGCUGCUAAUACCGCAUACGCCCUACGGGGGAAAGGGGGGGAUCUUCGGACCUCUCGCUAUUAGAUGAGCCCGCGGCGGAUUAGCUAGUUGGUAGGGUAAAGGCCUACCAAGGCUACGAGCCGUAACUGGUCUGGGAGGAUGAUCAGUCACACUGGAACUGAGAGACGGUCCAGACUCCUACGGGAGGAAGCAGUGGGGAAUAUUGGACAAUGGGGGCAACCCUGAUCCAGCCAUGCCGCGUGUGUGAAGAAGGCCUUAGGGUUGUAAAGCACUUUCAGUGGGGAGAAAGGUUUGUCACCUAAUACGUGAUGAAAUUGAUGUUACCCACAGAAGAAGCACCGGCUAACUCCGUGCCAGCAGCCGCCGUAA
RNAcentral lists this ribosomal RNA (496 nucleotides) under uncultured bacterium. RNAcentral's name for it is "partial 16S ribosomal RNA". It matches the Rfam family "Bacterial small subunit ribosomal RNA", at positions 30 to 523 of the family's 1533-position model. The record is from RNAcentral.